Molecule: long non-coding RNA, 1628 nt
Filed under: Bemisia tabaci
Lineage: Eukaryota; Metazoa; Arthropoda; Insecta; Hemiptera; Aleyrodidae
Description: lncRNA ENSASIAIIG013228
Source: RNAcentral
GUUAGAUUUAUUGUGACUUUUACCUGCCCUUGUUAUUACUCGUUAUACUCGUUUAUGAACUUAUCGUGAUUUUAUUGUAGACUUUAGUGUGAUAUUCUCGAUAGACUAUUCGUUCGUGUGACGCGUGCACUGCGUUGUUUGUGUACUACGGUGGAUUGGAUUAUUAUAGUUGUACGUUCUGCUACUACUCAGUGUGUUCUUUACUGUUCCUGCUACCCCCCGUCACCUACUACCAUCAGCCGCCGCAUUGCGGGAGUCCUGCUCGCAGGGGAAGUUUCCUGAUGUCAUUCCCGGAAUUCGCAUCCCUGAUGGGAAGACGCACUUACAGUCCACGCAUCCUCAAUGGUUCACACCAAAGUUGGCGCCCAAAACGCGGGAACUUUGACCUCGCUGAUCGUCAGGCAGGACACCAGCCGGCUCAGCUCCUGUCGAAGGGACCAGCGGGUUAGCCCUGAUUCGGGGUAAAAACAUCGCCUCUGGUUACCGCAUCCGGAGUAGCCAAGCUUCGGCAUCCAGCAACUGGUCGGCAAGUCGCAUCUCUCAGCAACCCUUUGGACGUGUCAACGGCAGGGACGUAUCAACCAAGCGGCCAGACGUCUUCACUGAUCGUCGGGCAGGCAUCGGAUCGUCGGGCACUCUUCACACCCGGCUCAUCUUACCUCCACUUUCGGCGGGACCCGGGCAUGCUCUCCCAACUGACCGGCGGAGGCAUCUAGACAUCGUCCGGAUAUCCUGAAGAUCGAGGCACAUCUAUCCCUACAACCAUGCAAUGAGGGCGACACGGUGACCUGGCAACCGCGCAUCAUCACGGCGCUUCAUGGAUGGUGACAAAUAUCAACAUUGGGCAUCGCGAGGACUGAACGAGGCGCUUCUGAGUCAGCGGAAUGUGUCGGACGGGUAUGGCAUCUGGAGAUUUUUCAAAGCGGCAGCAGAUUUCUUUGUAGUAGUUUUAAGAACCGAAAUCGGGUACUCGUAACCGUUUUGUUUAUGAAUUAUUUUGAGUAAAUUUUUUUUUGAGUACCACGAGAUGCGCCAGGUCAGGACUACGGCGGAAAGAUUUCAUAGAUUUCUGGAAUUUUGUUACAUGAACGGAACGCCUAUGAAACCUCUCGAACCAAAGUUCUGAUCGGGUGCCGGCAGAUGUAAAAAUGUAGCCGCUUUAUUUAUUAUUUGUUUGUAAAAAGUCAUAUUUUUUAUUACCUUUCAAUUAAUGUUUUUUACGCUAGCCUUCUUUAUUUAUAAUUUUUUAACCUACUUUUAUUUUACUAUUUUUUUACGAUGAAACGCUGCACUUGCUACGCAAGGGCCUUUGCUUCGAAAGGGAUGGUUAAAUCAUUUUUUUUCUCGUUUUUUUGCCUAAGGUAGAAGGUUGUAAUAGAAUGGGGCCAUAUCACUACGUUUUAGGGCCACAUUCGCUAUGGUGCGAUGUGCCACAGAUGUGCGCAUCACGCUCAAGAUCACCAUGGAAAUCUGGAAAAUGCACUACAGUGUGUGCACCAUGCACCAGCUAUGAUCACAAAUUUUAAGUCUCUUUUAUCUAGGUAGGUGAAAUCUGCCACAGGCUGGUUAAAGUACUACCUACUUAAUGUUUACUGCCAACUGAUUUUUAACUAUUAUAAAACAAACUA